AUCUGUCCUGCAAUUGCGGAGAGAAUUACACAGUCUAUGUGUGUAACUUGUUGUUUCAACAACAUUGAAAUUUCGUUUACCUCACUUGCACAUUGCUGUACAGUUCCCACCAUCGGUAUUACAAGAGAAGUGUGAUGUGAUUUCAGAAAACGUUCCAUAUGUUUUACCACACCAAACUUGUGAAGCGUGACUCUGACCUUCGGGCUACUGCUCAGAGAAUCUAAAACUUUGGCACAGCCUAUUGCAACUGCCACCAAUUCCUUGUUAGUUUCGUUCAGCUCGUUGUACAUUGUUCGAAGAAUAGAAUCUGCUCUGUUUCGACUUUUCGCAUUCAAUGGAUAACGACCAGGUUUAAUCGCGUCAAUUGAGAUUUACAAAUGACAAGGUGAAUAUAUACAGAAAAUAUUAUCAAAUAAAAUAAUGCAUAGUUGAUACGCGGAAAGAAGAAUUUACGAGAUAUACCAUUACACAAUUAAUUAAAUCGAUGAAAAAGUAUGCGACGCGCGUAACCAAAAUUUAUGAGCAAAUAUUUUCUCACCAUUAAAUUGAAAGAAUGCAGAACUUCAUGGAAAACGUUGGAAGUAAA
This is a long non-coding RNA of Frieseomelitta varia, 586 nucleotides long. RefSeq lists it as uncharacterized. The transcript has 5 exons. Lineage: Eukaryota; Metazoa; Arthropoda; Insecta; Hymenoptera; Apidae. The record is from RefSeq and is a predicted model, not a curated record.